UUCCUACGGGGGGCAGCAGUGAGGAAUAUUGGUCAAUGGGCGAGAGCCUGAACCAGCCAAGUCGCGUGAAGGAUGACGGCCCUAUGGGUUGUAAACUUCUUUUGUCAGGGAGCAAUUGAGUCCACGUUUGGGCUUAGCGAGAGUACCUGAAGAAAAAGCAUCGGCUAACUCCGUGCCAGCAGCCGCGGUAAUACGUAGGGGGCAAGCGUUAUCCGGAAUUACUGGGUGUAAAGGGAGCGUAGACGGUUAAGUAAGUCUGGAGUGAAAGGCCGGGGCCCAACCCCGGGACUGCUCUGGAAACUAUU
RNAcentral lists this ribosomal RNA (305 nucleotides) under uncultured bacterium. RNAcentral describes it as "bacterial SSU rRNA". It matches the Rfam family "Bacterial small subunit ribosomal RNA", at positions 336 to 637 of the family's 1533-position model. The record is from RNAcentral.